AUGAAGCACAUAUUCAAGAUCAUCGCGGUGCUGGCGGCGAUCUCGGCCGUCUGGGUUGCGCUCCUUGAAACCUCGACAGUUCCUCGCAGUUAUACUUGGCUGCUUCCCAUCUACUUGGUAGUGGCGCUUGGAUGCUACGGCCUUUUCAUGGUUGGGUAUGGGCUGAUGUUCUUUCCCACUUGUCCUCGAGAAGCCAUACUACUACAGCAGGAUAUUGUGGAGGCAAAGGAAUUCUUAUCCAAAAGGGGUGUUGAUGUGGGCUCCGACUGA
Molecule: ribosomal RNA, 270 nt
Filed under: Triticum aestivum (bread wheat)
Lineage: Eukaryota; Viridiplantae; Streptophyta; Magnoliopsida; Poales; Poaceae
Description: partial small subunit ribosomal RNA
Source: RNAcentral